This 350-nucleotide long non-coding RNA is filed under the name Elaeis guineensis (African oil palm). RNAcentral describes it as "long non-coding RNA (EGUI_LNC072325)". The record is from RNAcentral. Lineage: Eukaryota; Viridiplantae; Streptophyta; Magnoliopsida; Arecales; Arecaceae.
UGCCAAUCAGCCCAUUGUGCCAUGAGUCGACUCAUGGGGUCGACUCAAAUUUUCAAACAUGGAUAUCUUUCAAAAUACAUGUCCAAAAACUAUAAAAUUUUCACCAAUGGAUCAUAAAUCUUUUGUUCUAGCACUUGAUGCUUUCAAAUCAGGGUUUGAUAAAAUUAUGAUUUUAUCUCUGAAAUGCAAUAAGUCUUUUUCAAGCAAAAAUCAUUAGUAACCCCUUCAAUUGCUUUGUAAUCAUCAAAAUCAAUCCAAGGAGCAACAAUCUCCCCCUUUUUGAUGAUGACAAAAUACUUGAGUAAAAGCAUAUAUAAAACAUUGAGCAUGAAUUUCAAAGUUAUGAAGAU